UAUCGAUAAAGUAAGAGGUUUAGUUCGGCCUGCCAUUGACGGAUGCUAUACAGUGUAUGAUGGUGAUAGCAGUCUGAUCACAACUCAGGAGGGCAUAGUACCGAUUGAAUCAUCGUUUAACCAUGCAGAUGAAGUUCCUGAAAAAGAAGCAACCGAAAAGACUAACCAUGUUGUAGCCGCUACAACAACAACAAACCAUGAUGAAUCGGACUACUUCACAAACGACAGAGCCAAUUUAAAAAAAGAGUCCUCAUCCUUUGUUGACCCGAAAGAGACAACUUUCGUCAGCAGGAAAAGAAACCAUUUCCGAAAAGUUCAGAGUACUGGCGUCUGAAAAGUUGGGAUUAGUAUCGGCUCAAAAGGAACUAUUACAGGUACAGUUAACAGAAGAGGAGGAAAAACUAGAACAUAACCGUUUGUUAAGGAAGAUGCCGAUGGAAGAAGCAAAAAGGCAGUAUGAGGAGAAUGAAGAAAAAUUAAAGCAUGACCGGUUUUUAAGAAAACUCGAAGUUGAAGACGCGCAAAAAAGGUAU
Long non-coding RNA from Rhagoletis pomonella (apple maggot), 533 nucleotides. RefSeq lists it as uncharacterized. The record is from RefSeq and is a predicted model, not a curated record. NCBI's taxonomy places the organism in Eukaryota, Metazoa, Arthropoda, Insecta, Diptera, Tephritidae. The transcript has 3 exons.